This 253-nucleotide ribosomal RNA is filed under the name uncultured bacterium. RNAcentral describes it as "partial 16S ribosomal RNA". It matches the Rfam family "Bacterial small subunit ribosomal RNA", at positions 524 to 776 of the family's 1533-position model. The record is from RNAcentral.
UACGAAGGGUGCAAGCGUUAAUCGGAAUUACUGGGCGUAAAGGGUGCGCAGGCGGUUAUAUAAGACAGAUGUGAAAUCCCCGGGCUCAACCUGGGAACUGCGUUUGUGACUGUAUGACUAGAGUACGGUAGAGAGGGGUGGAAUUCCUGGUGUAGCAGUGAAAUGCGUAGAUAUCAGGAGGAACAUCGAUGGCGAAGGCAGCCCCUUGGACCUGUACUGACGCUCAUGCACGAAAGCGUGGGGAGCAAACAGG